This 278-nucleotide long non-coding RNA is filed under the name Malus domestica (apple). RNAcentral's name for it is "long non-coding RNA (MDOM_LNC008937)". Lineage: Eukaryota; Viridiplantae; Streptophyta; Magnoliopsida; Rosales; Rosaceae. The record is from RNAcentral.
UAGUCUGAAUGACUCAUGGUAAUAUUCGCUCUAGUGCUUCUCUCAUCAAUCAUCUGUAUACAAUAACCUAAGGUCACCCACCAGUCAUAAUCUCACUAACACUCUACGACUGGCCCGUCGUACCCACUCCGCGUGGACUGUACGACCAGCAUCUACUUGGAUCCAAGCCGAGCGUGCGAUGCGGUGAAUACUAUAAGCACUAAACCAUGGUGCAGGAUAUGAGCUCAAUAUAUCUCAUCAUCAACAUAACAGUAAUUAAAUACUUACCUGUGCGUCCA